Molecule: ribosomal RNA, 250 nt
Filed under: uncultured bacterium
Lineage: Bacteria
Description: partial 16S ribosomal RNA
Rfam family: Bacterial small subunit ribosomal RNA
Source: RNAcentral
GGUGACUGAGUGGCGAACGGGUGAGUAACACGUGGGUGACGUACCUCCAAGUGCGGCAUAACCCUGGGAAACUGGGACUAAUUCCGCAUGUGCUGCGGCCUUUUUGGGGCUUCAGUAAAGAUUUAUCGCUUGGAGAUCGGCCCGCGGUCCAUCAGCUAGUUGGUGGGGUAACAGCCUACCAAGGCGACGACGGAUAGCCGACCUGAGAGGGUGACCGGCCACAGGGGCACUGAGACACGGGCCCCACUCC